AACGAACGCUGGCGGCAUGCCUAACACAUGCAAGUCGAACGAGACCUUCGGGUCUAGUGGCGCACGGGUGCGUAACGCGUGGGAACCUUCCCUUAGGUUCGGAAUAACUCCCCGAAAGGGGUGCUAAUACCGGAUAAUGUCUUCGGACCAAAGAUUUAUCGCCUUUGGAUGGGCCCGCGUUGGAUUCGCUAGUUGGUAGGGUAAAAGCCUACCAAGGCGACGAUCCAUAGCUGGUCUGAGAGGAUGAUCAGCCACACUGGGACUGAGACACGGCCCAGACUCCUACGGGAGGCAGCAGUGGGGAAUAUUGGACAAUGGGCGAAAGCCUGAUCCAGCAAUGCCGCGUGAGUGAUGAAGGCCUUAGGGUUGUAAAGCUCUUUUACCCGGGAUGAUAAUGACAGUACCGGGAGAAUAAGCUCCGGCUAACUCCGUG
This 433-nucleotide ribosomal RNA is filed under the name uncultured bacterium. Its description in RNAcentral is "partial 16S ribosomal RNA". It matches the Rfam family "Bacterial small subunit ribosomal RNA", at positions 29 to 507 of the family's 1533-position model. The record is from RNAcentral.